This 254-nucleotide ribosomal RNA is filed under the name uncultured bacterium. RNAcentral describes it as "partial 16S ribosomal RNA". It matches the Rfam family "Bacterial small subunit ribosomal RNA", at positions 524 to 776 of the family's 1533-position model. The record is from RNAcentral.
UACGAAGGGGGCUAGCGUUGUUCGGAAUCACUGGGCGUAAAGCGUGCGUAGGCUGUUUAGAAAGUUAGGUGUGAAAGCCUGGGGCUUAACCUCAGAAUUGCGCUUAAAACUACUAGACUCGAGAUUGGUAGGGGACAGUGGAAUUCCUAGUGUAGCGGUGAAAUGCGUAGAUAUUAGGAGGAACACCAGAGGCGAAGGCGACUGUCUGGGCCAAUACUGACGCUAAUGGCACGAAAGCGUGGGGAGCAAACAGG